AGGGCCGUAGCGCAGAGGUCGUCGCGCCACCGCAGCUCGCUGGAGGACGCCGGUUCGAAUCCGGUCGGCUCUG
This 73-nucleotide transfer RNA is filed under the name Actinomadura litoris. It matches the Rfam family "tRNA". Rfam says of the family: Transfer RNA (tRNA) molecules are approximately 80 nucleotides in length. The record is from Rfam by way of RNAcentral. Lineage: Bacteria; Bacillati; Actinomycetota; Actinomycetes; Streptosporangiales; Thermomonosporaceae. RNAcentral also lists the same sequence under 2 other names.